Molecule: ribosomal RNA, 154 nt
Filed under: Trichuris suis (pig whipworm)
Lineage: Eukaryota; Metazoa; Nematoda; Enoplea; Trichinellida; Trichuridae
Description: 5.8S ribosomal RNA
Rfam family: 5.8S ribosomal RNA
About the family: 5.8S ribosomal RNA (5.8S rRNA) is a component of the large subunit of the eukaryotic ribosome. It is transcribed by RNA polymerase I as part of the 45S precursor that also contains 18S and 28S rRNA.
Source: RNAcentral
CAUUCCGAACGGCGGAUCACUUGGCUCGUAGAUCGUUGAAGAACGACGUGACACUCGAGAAUUGAUGUGAAUUGCAGACACACUGAACUUGAAUACUUUGAACGCACAUUGCAGCGUCGACGAAGUUACGAAAUAAAGCAAAUGCGCCGCUCAG